Molecule: long non-coding RNA, 1642 nt
Filed under: Cicer arietinum (chickpea)
Lineage: Eukaryota; Viridiplantae; Streptophyta; Magnoliopsida; Fabales; Fabaceae
Description: long non-coding RNA (CARI_LNC003454)
Source: RNAcentral
GAAAUAUUAUCAUUUAUCACAAUAAUCAGGACUUCUCACAUGAUAUGUUCCUUGUGAAUAUGUAUGUUUAUUUAUUGAGAUAACACAUAUCUAUUUCUGGGCUGAAACCAUCAGGGGAGUUUUCUUUGGGCUUUUAGGAUGAGAUUGUCUGUCUUCCCUGUCAUUAAGUCUGAGUUUUGGGGGUUUCUUAAUGGUCUGCAAAUGUGAAGUGGUAAAGGCAUUAGAAGGAUUUUGGUUGAAUCAGAUUCUCUUGAUGCUGUGACUCUUAUUAAUGGUUGAUGCAACUCUGUGCACCCCUGUUUUAAUUUAGUGGAAGAAAUCAAGUGAGUUGUUUUCGAUGUUGCUCCUAACUAUUUGUUUAGAACCCUGAUGACCUUGCUCAGCUUGUGUAGUGUUGUUUCUAUGGGGCUUUGCCCCUCUAAUCCACCAAAAAAAUGUCUACUUUAGAACCCUGAUAGGGGAUGCUGACCUUGCUCAUCUGCUUCUCUUUUGUCUUCAGCUUUUAUACAAUGGGACUAGUAUGAUGCUUGCAAAAAUUUAUGGAUAAAUAUAUGAUGUAUCUGUAUCAAUCUAACUUGCCUGGUUUAUAUUACAGGGCGAAGAAUGAAUCCUCCUAUCUCAAGCAUACCUCCUAUUUCAAACAUGCCACCCACAUCCCGUUCAAGAAAAGACUAUGCAAGGAUAGACUAGCAUUUGUCCUGAUUGGGUGAAUCAGCUUGGCUUUUUUAUUAUUUAUUAUUAUUAUUAUUUUGGUUCAUGACAAGGGGAAGGGGAAAAAGGAAGAGUUUGUAUGGGGAAAAUGGAGGGGAAAAAAGGCCAGUAGCAAUGCUUUCCUACUUUCCUUACAAACCCUUCUUAUCUUUGAUCAUCUGUUGUGCUUGUGCUUGAAAAUAGUUUAUGGUUAUAGUUUGCAUGUCAUUGAUCAUUUAUUGGGGUAUUGGUAUCUACUAAUUUAAAGGCACUAUAUGGGCUGAUGUCAUAAGAAAUCUUAGGAGUUGGUCGCGUGCAUAAUGUUCUAAUAUUAAAUAUCAUUUUGCCUUUUACUGUAUUACAGCACUUUGAGUCAUCUAAAGUGCUCUCUUUUGCCUAUUAGUUUGUACUCUUAAGCAAGGGGACCCAUAUAAGUACGCUCUGUGGUUUCCCUUUCAUGAUUUCCUUCACAUUUGAACUGAACUAUUAUAUAUUUGAUUUAUUUGGUAUGCUAGAUAGCUAGCUUACCUUGAAUAUGAAUUUUGGCUAGAGGGUCUGUGAUGGAGUAUCAAUACUAUCUCUAGUGACAUGGCCAUAAUUUUAAGGUCAUUGUGUCUUAAGUUAAGAUCAUUUUUAUGUUAUAUGUUAAACUAAAUCAAUGCUCAUGAGUGGGUGGAGUGCGGAAAUUUUCAUUGGGUAGAGCUUUGAUACAUACAUUUAGUUUUGAUUAAUUCACAAUCAUGCUUUUCAUGUGAGGCGGUGUUCAUUAUUUUUACUAAUGUCAUGUUUAUAUUGUUCUUAGUAAUCAUGAAAUUAUAUUGAAGUAAAACGACAAUUUUAGAGAUAAGAACAUUUGAACAUUACUGCAUGCCAUUUUAUAAUGUAAUUGUAUUUUAUAUAUUGUGUUGAUCUAUUCUUGCCUUAAACUAGAUUUGAAUUAUAAUCGAUGAAU